CCCGGGGUAGCUCAGUGGUUAGAGCGAGGGUCUCAUAAUCCCUAGGCCGGUGGUUCGAAUCCACCCUCCGGGACCA
This 76-nucleotide transfer RNA is filed under the name Acidobacteriota bacterium. Its description in RNAcentral is "Acidobacteria bacterium (hot springs metagenome) tRNA-Ile". It matches the Rfam family "tRNA". From Rfam's summary of the family: Transfer RNA (tRNA) molecules are approximately 80 nucleotides in length. Their secondary structure includes four short double-helical elements and three loops (D, anti-codon, and T loops). The record is from RNAcentral. Lineage: Bacteria; Pseudomonadati; Acidobacteriota.